This is a non-coding RNA of Triticum aestivum (bread wheat), 159 nucleotides long. The record is from Rfam. NCBI's taxonomy places the organism in Eukaryota, Viridiplantae, Streptophyta, Magnoliopsida, Poales, Poaceae.
AUACUUACCUGGAUGGGGUCGACAGGUGAUCAAGAAGGCCCGUGGCCUAGGUCAAUGGCCCACAUUGCACUUGGUGGGCGCGUUGGCCUAUCAUCUCCCCGAGUGGGAGAGUGAACGUCGUAAUUUAUGGUAGAGGGGUAUGCGUCCGCGCGGCCCUGC